AUUGAACGCUGGCGGCAGGCCUAACACAUGCAAGUCGAACGAGUGGCGGACGGGUGAGUAAUGUCUGGGCAACUGCCUGAUGGAGGGGGAUAACUACUGGAAACGGUAGCUAAUACCGCAUACCAUCGGAUGUGCCCAGAUGGGAUUAGCUAGUAGGUGGGGUAACGGCUCACCUAGGCGACGAUCCCUAGCUGGUCUGAGAGGAUGACCAGCCACACUGGAACUGGGACACGGUCCAGACUCCUACGGGAGGCAGCAGGGGGGAAUAUUGCACAAUGGGCGCAAGCCUGAUGCAGCCAUGCCGCGUGUAUGAAGAAGGCCUUCGGGUUGUAAAGUACUUUCAGCGGGGAGGCGUUACCCGAAGAAGAAGCACCGGCUAACUCCGUGCCAGCAGCCGCGGUAAUAC
Molecule: ribosomal RNA, 406 nt
Filed under: uncultured bacterium
Lineage: Bacteria
Description: partial 16S ribosomal RNA
Rfam family: Bacterial small subunit ribosomal RNA
Source: RNAcentral